GCUGAUCCUUGGAUCAUUUUGUCCCAUUUUAAAAGAUUAAAAGCUAGGGCUUGAGAAGAAGAAGAGAAGAAGAAGAGAAGAAGGAGAAGAAGAAGAAGAAGAAGAGGAGAAAGAGGAGAUCAACAAGUUUCCGUCAAAGAUCAACGUGGAUUAUCAUCGAGGUGAUCCCUAUCAAGAUAUGUGAGUUCUUUGUGUGGGUUGAUCCUUU
Molecule: long non-coding RNA, 208 nt
Filed under: Solanum tuberosum (potato)
Lineage: Eukaryota; Viridiplantae; Streptophyta; Magnoliopsida; Solanales; Solanaceae
Description: long non-coding RNA (STUB_LNC009907)
Source: RNAcentral